AUUGAACGCUGGCGGCAUGCCUUACACAUGCAAGUCGAACGGUAACAGGUCUUCGGAUGCUGACGAGUGGCGAACGGGUGAGUAAUACAUCGGAACGUGCCUAGUAGUGGGGGAUAACUACUCGAAAGAGUGGCUAAUACCGCAUGAGAUCUACGGAUGAAAGCAGGGGAUCGCAAGACCUUGUGCUACUAGAGCGGCCGAUGGCAGAUUAGGUAGUUGGUGGGAUAAAAGCUUACCAAGCCGACGAUCUGUAGCUGGUCUGAGAGGACGAUCAGCAACACUGGGGCGGAGAAACGUACCAGACUCCUACGGGAGGCAGCAGUGGGGAAUUUUGGACAAUGGGCGCAAGCCUGAUCCAGCAAUGCCGCGUGCAGGAUGAAGGCCUUCGGGUUGUAAACUGCUUUUGUACGGAACGAAAAGCCCCGGGUUAAUACCCUGGGGUCAUGACGGUACCGUAAGAAUAAGCACCGGCUAACUACGUGCCAGCCGCCGCAGUAA
This 498-nucleotide ribosomal RNA is filed under the name uncultured bacterium. Its description in RNAcentral is "partial 16S ribosomal RNA". It matches the Rfam family "Bacterial small subunit ribosomal RNA", at positions 30 to 523 of the family's 1533-position model. The record is from RNAcentral.